RNAcentral lists this ribosomal RNA (248 nucleotides) under uncultured Bacteroidales bacterium. Its description in RNAcentral is "partial 16S ribosomal RNA". It matches the Rfam family "Bacterial small subunit ribosomal RNA", at positions 86 to 334 of the family's 1533-position model. The record is from RNAcentral. Lineage: Bacteria; Pseudomonadati; Bacteroidota; Bacteroidia; Bacteroidales.
UGUCGGCGACCGGCGCACGGGUGAGUAACGCGUAUCCAACCUGCCCAUAACUAAGGGAUAACCCAGCGAAAGUUGGACUAAUACCUUAUGUAUUUGUUUGAUCUCAUGAGAUUACGAAUAAAGAUUUAUCGGUUAUGGAUGGGGACGCGUCUGAUUAGCUUGUUGGCGGGGUAACGGCCCACCAAGGCAACGAUCAGUAGGGGUUCUGAGAGGAAGGUCCCCCACAUUGGAACUGAGACACGGUCCAA